GCUCGAAUGGUGUAAUGGUAGCCACGAAGGACUUAAAAUCCUUUGGUCAUUGCGACCGUGCGGGUUCGAGUCCCGCUUCGAGCACCA
RNAcentral lists this transfer RNA (87 nucleotides) under Duncaniella sp. Its description in RNAcentral is "tRNA-Leu". It matches the Rfam family "tRNA". Rfam says of the family: Transfer RNA (tRNA) molecules are approximately 80 nucleotides in length. Their secondary structure includes four short double-helical elements and three loops (D, anti-codon, and T loops). Lineage: Bacteria; Pseudomonadati; Bacteroidota; Bacteroidia; Bacteroidales; Muribaculaceae. The record is from RNAcentral.